Molecule: ribosomal RNA, 468 nt
Filed under: uncultured bacterium
Lineage: Bacteria
Description: partial 16S ribosomal RNA
Rfam family: Bacterial small subunit ribosomal RNA
Source: RNAcentral
GACGAACGCUGGCGGCGUGCUUAACACAUGCAAGUCGAACGGAAAGACCCUGCUUUUGUGGGGUGCUCGAGUGGCGAACGGGUGAGUAAAACGUGAGUAACCUGCACUUGACUUUGGGAUAACUUCAGGGAACUGGGGCUAAUACCGGAUAGGAGCUCCUGCUGCAUGGUGGGGGUUGGAAAGUUUCGGCGGUUGGGGAUGGAUUCGCGGCUUAUCAGCUUGUUGGUGGGGUAGUGGCUUACCAAGGCUUUGACGGGUAGCCGGCCUGAGAGGGUGACCGGCCACAUUGGGACUGAGAUACGGCCCAGACUCCUACGGGAGGCAGCAGUGGGGAAUAUUGCACAAUGGGCGGAAGCCUGAUGCAGCAACGCCGCAUGCGGGAUGACGGCCUUCGGGCUGUAAACCGCUUUCGCCUGUGACGAAGCGUGAGUGACGGUAAUGGGUAAAGAAGCACCGGCUAACUACGUG